UCUUUUCCUUGUGUGCCAGCCGCCGCGGUAAUACGUAGGGGGCUAGCGUUAUCCGGAAUUACUGGGCGUAAAGGGUGCGUAGGUGGUUUCUUAAGUCAGAGGUGAAAGGCUACGGCUCAACCGUAGUAAGCCUUUGAAACUGGGAAACUUGAGUGCAGGAGAGGAGAGUGGAAUUCCUAGUGUAGCGGUGAAAUGCGUAGAUAUUAGGAGGAACACCAGUUGCGAAGGCGGCUCUCUGGACUGUAACUGACACUGAGGCACGAAAGCGUGGGGAGCAAACAGG
Molecule: ribosomal RNA, 283 nt
Filed under: Romboutsia timonensis
Lineage: Bacteria; Bacillati; Bacillota; Clostridia; Peptostreptococcales; Peptostreptococcaceae
Description: partial 16S ribosomal RNA
Rfam family: Bacterial small subunit ribosomal RNA
Source: RNAcentral